UGACGGCGCUGCGCUGGCGUCAUCAGGCCGCGCCCUCGCGCUGCAGUUGCCGCAGUCUGCGAGGGGACCCGGCGUGGGCAUGUGUCAGGUGGGAGAGGACUACGGGGAGCCGGCGCCCCGGGAGCCGCCCCCGGCUCCGCGGCCUAGCCGCGAGCAGAAGUGUGUGAAGUGCAGGGAAGCCCAGCCGGUGGUGGUGAUACGAGCCGGAGAUGCCUUCUGCAGGGGCUGUUUCAAGGCCUUCUACAUCCACAAGUUCAGAGCCAUGCUGGGCAAGAACCGGCUCAUCUUCCCAGGCGAGAAGGUGCUCUUGGCGUGGUCUGGGGGGCCUUCGUCCAGCUCCAUGGUCUGGCAGGUCCUUGAGGGCCUAAGCCAAGAUUCUGCCAAGAGGCUGCGUUUUGUGCCAGGGGUCAUCUUUGUUGAUGAGGGAGCAGCCUGUGGCCGGAGCCCGGAGGAGAGAGCGAAGACCCUGGCUGAAGUGAAGCCCAUCCUGCAAGCAAUUGGGUUCCCGUGGCACGUGGUGGCCUUAGAGGAGGUGUUCAGCCUGUCGCCGUCGGUGCUGCGGUGCUCUUCCCAGGAGCCAGCGGCUCCCGAGGAGGCCUACAAGGCGGCCGUGGACAGCUUCCUCCGGCAGCAGCAUGUGCUGGGGGCAGGGGGUGGGCCUGGCCCGGCUCAUGGGGAGGAACAGCUGCCCCAGCCCCGUGCCCAGCUCCCGCAGAACCCCCCGAGUCUGCUGAGACCACCUGCUGCUGCCCAGACUGAGGCUCUUUCCCACCUGUUCUGCUCAGUGAGGACACUGACAGCCAAGGAGGAGCUUCUGCAGACCCUGCGGGCCCACCUGAUCCUGCACGUGGCCCGCGCUCACGGCUACUCCAAGGUCAUGACUGGGGACAGCUGCACCCGCCUGGCCAUCAAGCUCAUGACCAACCUGGCGCUGGGUAGAGGGGCCUUCCUGGCUUGGGACACGGGCUUCUCCGAUGAGCGGCACGGGGACGUGGUGGUGGUGAGACCCAUGCGGGAGCACACCCUGAAGGAGGUCGCCUUCUACAACCGGCUGUUCUCCGUCCCUUCUGUCUUCACGCCAGCCGUCGAUACCAAGGCCCCUGAAAAGGCCAGCAUCCACCGGCUGAUGGAGGCCUUCAUUCUCCGGCUGCAGACCCAGUUUCCCUCCACCGUCAGCACUGUGUACAGGACAAGUGAGAAGCUGGUGAAGGCCCCCCGGGACGGCCCUGCCACCGGCGACCACAGCCCUCGCUGUCUGCUGUGCAUGUGCGCCCUGGACGUUGACGCCGCUGACAGUGCCACGGCUUUUGGGGUUCAGACCUCCUCACAUCCCUCCCAGAUCCAGUUGCCCACCUCCCUGACUGACACCGGGACUCCCCAGGAGUCGCCCAUUGCCCUGAUUGAGACCAGGACACCCCAGGGGCCCUGCUGUUUCCCGGGGGGGCCCCGGGCCCAGGGCUGUUGCCAAGGGGCCUCCAGGAGCUCUGCUCCUGCAGGGAGGACCCCCAAGCCUGCAUUGUGGAGCAGCUGUGCUAUGGCUGCCGUGUGAACAUGAAGGACUUGCCCUCGCUGGAGCCCCUGCCACAGUACAUCCUGGCCGAGGCCCAGCUCCGCACCCAGAGGGCCUGGGUGUUGGCAGAGCUCCGGGACUGUCUGAUUGAGGACAGUGACGAUGAGGUGGGCCAGAGCUGAGGACAUGCUCUCUGGGACAGCAGGUGCAGGGUCCACCACACUGCGGCUAGAAGGCAAGGAUGGGGUCGGCCCCUCAGUGUCCAUUUGUAUAAAUAAAACCUUUUUAAUU
Sapajus apella (tufted capuchin) is the source of this 1801-nucleotide RNA transcript. It is a transcript of the gene named cytosolic thiouridylase subunit 2, with no coding region annotated. Lineage: Eukaryota; Metazoa; Chordata; Mammalia; Primates; Cebidae. The record is from RefSeq and is a predicted model, not a curated record. The transcript is spliced from 15 exons.